Long non-coding RNA from Diachasmimorpha longicaudata, 1033 nucleotides. RefSeq lists it as uncharacterized. The record is from RefSeq and is a predicted model, not a curated record. The transcript is spliced from 4 exons. NCBI's taxonomy places the organism in Eukaryota, Metazoa, Arthropoda, Insecta, Hymenoptera, Braconidae.
GGAUCUGGAACAAAGACCCUAGAUUUUGCAGUGCACAAAGAAUCUGAUGCAAUAUCGAAGGACUAUUUACAAUAAAAUCCGAUCCAUCUAGGCGCCUCCCACUCUUCAUACCUGUAAUCACGCUCGGAACGCAUGCUGGAAAACGCCAACCACCUUUGUGCUGUCACACAGCCGAUGAUACAAAAAAAACACAACUAAACAAUCCCGACCCAUCUUUAUUACCUCAAAAACAAUGCAAGCAUGAACGCUUUUGUCACCACAAAUUCGAACUUUAAUUACCUGAUGUUUCACGGACAAAAUCACUGGCCAUACAAAGGAGAGCAACUUUCUGAUGCAACGAGCCGCCGAACGGAAUAAUAAACCAGUGUUGCACCGGCCGUUUCCUUGUUUACCAAUCAGAAUCGACGCCAGCACCUCCCAACAUUCAAAUUUCCACGCUUACACGUGCUUGUGUCUGGAUAUCAUGACAGAGAGGUGAGAGAGGACUUUGAUCUCGAUAUAAUUAUAAAAAUGUCAAUGAGCGAGGGUUUGGGUUAAGGGAUUGGAUAUAAAUAGAGAAAUCAACCGAGGGACAGACAUCAGUUAUCCAACAUAACCGAACAGACUACAACAAUCAUCAUGAAAUCCAUGGUUUGCCUUUUCGUCUUCGCCCUCGUGGCUGCCACCCAGGCCUACCCAGGAGGUCUCACUGGAAUCCCAUUGGGAGGAGUUCCCAUCACUACUGGCAUUGGCUUGGGAGGUCUUGGCGGUGGUAUUGCCUUGGCACCCCACGUUCAGCCUAUUUCCCCCAUCGUUGCUCGUCCCGCUCAGCCCAUUCAGACUGUUCUCAGCCCUGUGAAAACUCUUGUUUCGGCCCCAGUGGUUCUCGGAGGAAAAUUGGGAGGAUUAUGGUGAUCAGUUACGUGAAAUUCCCUGACGCUUCGGACUUUUCAAUGCAAAUGCCCUCAUAAUUGCUGGAUUUCGAAAUUUUUUACACUGAUGCUUUAUUAAAAGUUGUUGAAAUCAUCGUUGAAAAUAAAUAUGAUAAAAAUAA